GGUAGUUUCACAGUGUUAGAGUCACUGUAACUGAACUAGAAAUAACUGCUUGCAUUUUCACAAGGAUGUCAGAAAACUGAGCGGAACAAUAAUCACAAUAAGUUAACUGAAUUAUCCUUUUCUUUUUGGUAGCCAAUCACAAAACUCUGCUCAUAGAGAACAGGGCAUCAGGAUGAGCAGGAGGACACCUAAUGGAGUCUGUAUAGAGUUUACAAGCUCAGGUUUCACAGAGUGCUCAGAUGUGUGAACAGAGAGCAGUUCAUCAGAGACAUCCAGCAAACUCAAAGUGAGCCACAGCCAUUUUUCUUACACAAUCUGCCCCUAGAAAAGCGGGAAAUACCUCUGAGACAUAAGACCUGUGGUAUCUGAUGACCCACCUGACAUUGCAAGGUCUCCCGGAUCCAGGCUGCUACAGACUGACAAGAUGGUCUCCAGGAAGUGUAGAGCAAUGUAAUGGAGCAUGAGGAUGAAUCUCAGUACUGUCUGAAGAAAGGAUGUUUAAGGGCUAACCCAUUUCACAGAUGCAAGGUAUAAAACAUUAGUAAAAAUUUUUGAAUGCAGUAUUAGAAAGAUACAUUUCAUGUACAUUUAAAGAGUUUUUAUCAUGGCACUUCUGCCAACAAAAUAACUGUUACAUCUUACUUUCCUAAUUGAUAACUAAUUGCUUCUUAUAUCACUGGUAGUGACGUGUUGUUGGAUCCUUUAAGGCUGACAGAUUACUAUAGACACAAUACUGGAGUUCUUUAAGAACACUUAUGAGAACAUCUUUGAAAUGUCUUUAUUAAAAGCAAUAGCAUCUUUUCUAAAUGGUGGAUGGCAGCUGGCUGUGUGCCCUCACAGCCCAGAAAGCCAGUAGAAUCCUGGGCUGCAUUCAAAGCAGUGCAGCCAGGAGGGUGAGAGAGGGGAUCUGCCUCUCUGCUCUGUGCUGUGGACCUCAUCUGGAGCACUGUGUUCAGAUAUGGAGUCCUCAGUAUAGGAAAAACAUGGACCUGUUGGAACACAUCCAGAGAAGGGCCACAAAGAUGAUCCAAAGGAUGGAACAACUCUACUCAAAGGACAGGCUGAGAGAACUCACUGCAGGACUGCUCAGCCUGGGGAAGAGAAGGAUCUGGGGAGAGCUCAGAGCAACUUUGAGGUGUAUAUGGGUGGAUAUAAGAAACAAGGGAACAGACUGUUGGUCUGUUGUGAUAGGACAAGGGGAAAUUGUUUCACAUAAAAGAGGGGAGAUUUAAACUGAAUGUAAGGAAAAAGCUUUUUUAUAAGCUAUCCUUAUAUAGUAAGGAUAGUCAGGCACUGGAAGAAUUGCCCAGAGAGGUGGUGGAUGCUGCAUCCCUGCAGACACUCAAGGUCAGGCUGGACAGGGCUCUGAGCACCUGAUGGAGCUGUGGGUGUCCCUGUUCAUUGCAGGGGAAUUCAACCAGAUGGCCUU
This is a long non-coding RNA of Tympanuchus pallidicinctus (lesser prairie-chicken), 1429 nucleotides long. RefSeq lists it as uncharacterized. The transcript is spliced from 3 exons. NCBI's taxonomy places the organism in Eukaryota, Metazoa, Chordata, Aves, Galliformes, Phasianidae. The record is from RefSeq and is a predicted model, not a curated record.